AUGGAGAAUUUCUUCGACAACCAAACCUUAAACUGAGGUCAUCAUGAAAACUGUUGGGUAUAAAAUACCCAUAGCCGAAACCCUCGACGGAAUCGACAACAGCACAGCUCCGUCCGGACUCCUACGGGGGUCGGGCUCCGCCGCCGACAUCAGAACAGCUCCGCCCGGGCUCCUAUGGGAGCCAGGCUCCACCACUGACAUCGACAACAGCACGACUCCGCCCGGACUCCUACGGGGGCCGGGCUCCGCCGCCGGCAUCGAAACAGCUCCGCCCGGGCUCCUAC
RNAcentral lists this long non-coding RNA (284 nucleotides) under Elaeis guineensis (African oil palm). RNAcentral describes it as "long non-coding RNA (EGUI_LNC053552)". The record is from RNAcentral. Lineage: Eukaryota; Viridiplantae; Streptophyta; Magnoliopsida; Arecales; Arecaceae.